Molecule: ribosomal RNA, 414 nt
Filed under: uncultured microorganism
Description: bacterial SSU rRNA
Rfam family: Archaeal small subunit ribosomal RNA
Source: RNAcentral
CAGCCGCCGCGGUAAUACCGGCGGCCCGAGUGGCGGUCACUAUUAUUGGGCUUAAAGCGUCCGUAGCCGGGUUGGGAAGUCCUCCGGGAAAUCUGGCCGCUUAACGGUCAGAAUGCCGGAGGAUACUCCCAGCCUAGGGAGCGGGAGCGGCCGCGGGUAUUCCCGGAGUAGGGGUGAAAUCCUAUAAUCCCGGGAGGACCACCUGUGGCGAAGGCGCUCGGCUGGAACGCGUCCGACGGUGAGGGACGAAGGCCAGGGGAGCAAACCGGAUUAGAUACCCGGGUAGUCCUGGCUGUAAACGAUGCGGACUUUGUGUCGGACAAGCUAUGAGCUUGUCCGGUGCCGGAGGGAAACCGUUAAGUCCGCCGCCUGGGGAGUACGGCCGCAAGGCUGAAACUUAAAGGAAUUGGCGGG